GAUGAACGCUGGCGGCGUGCUUAACACAUGCAAGUCGAACGAAGCACUUUAUUUGAUUUCCUUCGGGACUGAUUAUUUUGUGACUGAGUGACGGACGGGUGAGUAACGCGUGGGUAACCUGCCUUGUACAGGGGGAUAACAUUUGGAAACAGCUGCUAAUACCGCAUAAGCGCACAGCAUCGCAUUAGGCAGUGGGAAAAACUCCGGUGGUAUAAGAUGGACCCGCGUUGGAUUAGGUGGUUGGUGAGGUAACGGCCCACCAAGGCGACGAGCCAUAGCCGAGCUGGGAAGGGGACCGGCCACAUUGGGACUGAGACACGGACCCAACUCCUACGGGAGGCAGCAGUGGGGAAUAUUGCACGAUGGGCGAAAGCCUGAUGCAGCGGCGCCGCGUGAGCGAAGAAGUAUUUCGGUAUGUAAAGCUCUAUCAGCAGGGAAGAUAAUGACGGUACCUGACGAAGAAGCACCGGCUAACUACGUG
RNAcentral lists this ribosomal RNA (481 nucleotides) under uncultured bacterium. Its description in RNAcentral is "partial 16S ribosomal RNA". It matches the Rfam family "Bacterial small subunit ribosomal RNA", at positions 28 to 507 of the family's 1533-position model. The record is from RNAcentral.